GGUUUCAGGUGUGUUGGUUGGCUCCAGGUGCGUUAGUUGGUUUCAGGUGGAUUGCUUGGUUUCAGGUACGUUGAUUGAUUAAAGAUGGAUUGCUUGGUUUCAGGUGCAUUGCUUGGUUUCAGGUGGAUUGCUUGGUUUCAGGUGGAUUGCUUGGUUUCAGGUGCGUUGCUUGGUUUCAGGUGUGUUGCUUGGUUUCAGGUGGAUUGCUUGGUUUCAGGUGCGUUGCUUGGCUCCAGGUACGUUGCUUGGUUUCAGGUGCGUUGCUUGGUUUAAGGUGGAUUGCUUGGUUUCAGGUGCAUUGCUUGGUUUCAGGGGCGUUGCUUGGUUUCAGGUGCAUUAAUUGGUUUCAGGUGCGUUGCUUGGUUUCAGUUGCAUUGUUUGGUUUCAGGUGCGUUGCUUGGUUUCAGGUGCAUUGCUUGGUUUCAUGUGCGUUGCUUGGUUUCAGGUCCGUUGCUUGGUUUCAGGUGCGUUGCUUGGUUUCAGGUGCAUUGCUUGGUUUCCGGUGCGUUGCUUGGUUUCAGGUGCGUUGCUUGGUUUCAGGUGCGUUGCUUGGUUUCAGGUGCGUUUGAUGUGUUUUU
Sphaeramia orbicularis (orbiculate cardinalfish) is the source of this 578-nucleotide long non-coding RNA. RefSeq lists it as uncharacterized. The transcript is spliced from 3 exons. The record is from RefSeq and is a predicted model, not a curated record. NCBI's taxonomy places the organism in Eukaryota, Metazoa, Chordata, Actinopteri, Kurtiformes, Apogonidae.